AUGAACGCUGGCGGCGUGCCUAAUACAUGCAAGUCGAGCGAACAGACGAGGAGCUUGCUCCUCUGACGUUAGCGGCGGACGGGUGAGUAACACGUGGAUAACCUACCUAUAAGACUGGGAUAACUUCGGGAAACCGGAGCUAAUACCGGAUAAUAUAUUGAACCGCAUGGUUCAAUAGUGAAAGACGGUUUUGCUGUCACUUAUAGAUGGAUCCGCGCCGCAUUAGCUAGUUGGUAAGGUAACGGCUUACCAAGGCAACGAUGCGUAGCCGACCUGAGAGGGGGAUCGGCCACACUGGAACUGAGACACGGUCCAGACUCCUACGGGAGGCAGCAGUAGGGAAUCUUCCGCAAUGGGCGAAAGCCUGACGGAGCAACGCCGCGUGAGUGAUGAAGGUCUUCGGAUCGUAAAACUCUGUUAUUAGGGAAGAACAAAUGUGUAAGUAACUAUGCACGUCUUGACGGUACCUAAGCAGAAAGCCACGGCUAACUACGU
RNAcentral lists this ribosomal RNA (495 nucleotides) under uncultured bacterium. RNAcentral describes it as "partial 16S ribosomal RNA". It matches the Rfam family "Bacterial small subunit ribosomal RNA", at positions 29 to 506 of the family's 1533-position model. The record is from RNAcentral.